CAUGUACUCCCUCCGUCCGAAAUUACUUGUCGCAUAAAUGAAUGAAAAUGGGUGUAUCUAGAACUAAAAUACAUCUAGAUACAUUCACUUUUCCGACAAGUAUUUCCGCAUGGAGGGAGUACUAC
Non-coding RNA from Triticum aestivum (bread wheat), 125 nucleotides. Lineage: Eukaryota; Viridiplantae; Streptophyta; Magnoliopsida; Poales; Poaceae. The record is from Rfam.